RNAcentral lists this signal recognition particle RNA (300 nucleotides) under Microcebus murinus (gray mouse lemur). Its description in RNAcentral is "Metazoan signal recognition particle RNA (ENSMICG00000043309.1)". It matches the Rfam family "Metazoan signal recognition particle RNA". Rfam says of the family: The signal recognition particle (SRP) is a universally conserved ribonucleoprotein. Lineage: Eukaryota; Metazoa; Chordata; Mammalia; Primates; Cheirogaleidae. The record is from Rfam by way of RNAcentral.
GCCGGACGCGGUGGCGCGCGCCUGUAGUCCCAGCUACCCGGGAGGCUGAGGCAGGAGGAUCGCUUGAGUCCAGGAGUUCUGGGCUGUAGUGCGCUAUGCCGAUCGGGUGUCCGCACUAAGUUCGGCAUCAAUAUGGUGACCUCCCGGGAGCAGGGGACCACCAGGUUGCCUAAGGAGGGGUGAACCGGCCCAGGUCGGAAACGGAGCAGGUCAAAACUCCCGUGCUGAUCAGUAGUGGGAUCGCGCCUGUGAAUAGCCACUGCACUCCAGCCUGGGCAACAUAGCGAGACCCCGUCUCUU